Molecule: ribosomal RNA, 113 nt
Filed under: Periophthalmus magnuspinnatus
Lineage: Eukaryota; Metazoa; Chordata; Actinopteri; Gobiiformes; Gobiidae
Source: RNAcentral
UGACAUGGUAAUGCCUCCUUGUCAAAGCCUGAUCUCAUCUGAUCUCAGAAGCUAAGCAGGGUUUGGCCUGAUUAGUACCUGGAUGGGAGACCGCUGAAUACCUGGUGCUACAC